This 212-nucleotide long non-coding RNA is filed under the name Elaeis guineensis (African oil palm). Its description in RNAcentral is "long non-coding RNA (EGUI_LNC077721)". The record is from RNAcentral. Lineage: Eukaryota; Viridiplantae; Streptophyta; Magnoliopsida; Arecales; Arecaceae.
GUACCUUCUGUUGUGACCAACAUGUUGACACGUUUGAGAAUAGAGUAGUCAAGUUUGUUCAUAUAAAAAUUCACAAUAAUUGACUAUAUGAACUGGUAAGGGAAUGAAGGAUUAGAUCCAUCUGCAAUUCCUUUUGCAUAUCAAGCUCUAGCUUUUCAAGCUCCUCAAUAUCCUUGAUCACUGUCAUAUAGUGCUCAUGGACAGACUGUCCC